UAGGGAAUCUUCGGCAAUGGGGGGAACCCUGACCGAGCAACGCCGCGUGAGUGAAGAAGGUUUUCGGAUCGUAAAGCUCUGUUGUUAAGGAAGAACGAGUGUGAGAAUGGAAAGUUCAUGCUGUGACGGUACUUAACCAGAAAGGGACGGCUAACUACGUGCCAGCAGCCGCGGUAAUACGUAGGUCCCGAGCGUUAUCCGGAAUUAUUGGGCGUAAAGCGCGCGUAGGCGGUUUUUUAAGUCUGAUGUGAAAGCCCCCGGCUCAACCGGGGAGGGUCAUUGGAAACUGGUUGACUUGAGUGCAGAAGAGGAGAGUGGAAUUCCAUGUGUAGCGGUGAAAUGCGUAGAUAUAUGGAGGAACACCAGUGGCGAAGGCGACUCUCUGGUCUGUAACUGACGCUGAGGCUCGAAAGCGUGGGUAGCAAACAGG
This 430-nucleotide ribosomal RNA is filed under the name Bacteroidota bacterium. Its description in RNAcentral is "Bacteroidetes bacterium partial 16S ribosomal RNA". It matches the Rfam family "Bacterial small subunit ribosomal RNA", at positions 355 to 776 of the family's 1533-position model. Lineage: Bacteria; Pseudomonadati; Bacteroidota. The record is from RNAcentral.